RNAcentral lists this transfer RNA (63 nucleotides) under Nigidionus parryi. RNAcentral describes it as "tRNA-Asp". Lineage: Eukaryota; Metazoa; Arthropoda; Insecta; Coleoptera; Lucanidae. The record is from RNAcentral.
AAAGAUUUAGUUAAAUAAUAACAUUAACUUGUCAAGUUAAAAUAACUUUAAAAGUAAUCUUUU